UACAGAGGGUGCAAGCGUUAAUCGGAUUUACUGGGCGUAAAGCGUGCGUAGGUGGUCUGUUAAGUCAGGCGUGAAAUCCCCGGGCUCAACCUGGGAACUGCGUCUGAUACUGGCAGACUCGAGUGUGGUAGAGGGUAGUGGAAUUCCGCAUGUAGCGGUGAAAUGCGUAGAGAUGCGGAGGAACAUCAGUGGCGAAGGCGGCUACCUGGACCAACACUGACACUGAGGCACGAAAGCGUGGGUAG
This 245-nucleotide ribosomal RNA is filed under the name uncultured Gammaproteobacteria bacterium. RNAcentral's name for it is "partial 16S ribosomal RNA". It matches the Rfam family "Bacterial small subunit ribosomal RNA", at positions 524 to 768 of the family's 1533-position model. The record is from RNAcentral. Lineage: Bacteria; Pseudomonadati; Pseudomonadota; Gammaproteobacteria.